AUUGAACGCUGGCGGCAGGCUUAACACAUGCAAGUCGAGCGGAGUGAUGGUGCUUGCACUAUCACUUAGCGGCGGACGGGUGAGUAAUGCUUAGGAAUCUGCCUAUUAGUGGGGGACAACAUCUCGAAAGGGAUGCUAAUACCGCAUACGUCCUACGGGAGAAAGCAGGGGAUCACUUGUGACCUUGCGCUAAUAGAUGAGCCUAAGUCGGAUUAGCUAGUUGGUGGGGUAAAGGCCUACCAAGGCGACGAUCUGUAGCGGGUCUGAGAGGAUGAUCCGCCACACUGGGACUGAGACACGGCCCAGACUCCGACGGGAGGCAGCAGUGGGGAAUAUUGGACAAUGGGGGGAACCCUGAUCCAGCCAUGCCGCGUGUGUGAAGAAGGCCUUAUGGUUGUAAAGCACUUUAAGCGAGGAGGAGGCUUACCUAGUUAAUACCUGGGAUAAGUGGACGUUACUCGCAGAAUAAGCACCGGCCAACUCUGUGCCAGCCGCCGCAGUAA
RNAcentral lists this ribosomal RNA (503 nucleotides) under uncultured bacterium. RNAcentral's name for it is "partial 16S ribosomal RNA". It matches the Rfam family "Bacterial small subunit ribosomal RNA", at positions 30 to 523 of the family's 1533-position model. The record is from RNAcentral.